AUACAUAUAUUUCAAUAUUCUUGUUAAUGAAAUGAUGUUAUUUUACAUCAUUGUCCACAACGAGCUGUUCUGCAAACCAAAAUUAUUGACGUUCGCAGUUUAAAGCUAUCGGCCGUCUAUGAGGACAAGGAAGAACCGCAUGCAAUCGCAUAUAGCCAUAUAGCAUGCACAAACAUGUAUAUAAGUUGCCCAACACACCCAGCACACGAGAAUUUCUCCCUGCUGAAACAAGCAGGAUGAAAAGUCAUACUUGCCAGAAGUUCCGUUCGUAUUUCCUUUUGUUACUCGUACGUGAUUCGUGGAAUACGUCGUUUUGUAGAUAUUCGUUGUAACAUUUGACUGCUGGAACUUUUGGCGUUAGUACUUUUGAUACACUGCACGUAACAAGCCAUGCAACGCUACAUCGGUUUUAAACCGGGAAGGGAAAUGAUUAUAUCAAUGGAACAUGCUUCGCAAUAAGAAAUUAAACACAAAGCGCGAAGAUCGUCCCAGAAACAUUGUUUUGCCCCUGCAGCAUUUGGAAUGCACAUUAUUAAAAUGCGCAUUUUUCAGAGGUGUAUGAGUUUCAUAUUGUACUAAGUUAAAGAAUGUCAAUUUAGAGAAAAAUGAAAUACAAUAAAUUAAGAGAAAGAGAGAAACAUGCAGAAUAAAAUGUAUGCACAAAUAUAUAUUAUAUUACAUGGAAAAAAAACAAGUCGAUUAUAAUAUAAUAGUAUUUCAUAUCUAAUUUCAUAUCAAAAUAUUAAAUCAAAUAUAAAUAUGAAAUAAUAAUGUGUAUAAAGUUUGCAAGUAUAAUCGUUGUAUAAAUUUCACGUACAAUUAAACAAGAUUUUAAAAAAUGCUCCAUAAAAUAUGCGUUUUAUACAUUUAAGCAGAAUAUCUUUCUGCGUGUAAGAAUGGAUAAAUGAAAGAAAUAAUAAAAAAGUGCUUAAAGAGAAGAUUCAUGUGAAAUUGCGUUCUGAAAGAAGAGAGAAAAAGAUGGGAAAGAGUGCAAUAAUAAAAUCAUAGCUUACCGUAUAUAUACCGGAGAGUAGGGUUAAACAAAAACUUUUUGAGAGAGACCUUUUCUGUUGUAGUUGUGGUGGUAGCUGUUGUCUGAUAGAUUCUUAUUGUUGUCAAUAUAUUGUGCUUGUUGUUGAUGUUGUCGUUUAUCGUUGUGGUGUUAUCAUUUCUUGGUGGUGUUUUAUGUCAUUUUCUUUACUCCCAUCGUAGCCCGCGAAUCACAAUUUUUUUUAAGCUUCAUGCUUAACUUAUUUCAGUUAUAACGUUUAUGCACUCUUUUUCUCGUUUCAGUUAACCACCAGAAAAUCGACAAAAUCGUUGCCUGGGACUAACUUCAAGAGGAGGAUACCACCGAAAGUACAGAUAAACACGUAACAACAAUUACAGUGGUAAAACACACACGCACACGCAAGAUCAGUGACAGGAGGUUUGAGAAUAAAGAAGGACGUCGUCGAAAAUUUAUGAAGGCCCGCAGUGUAUCACUACAGUGAGACUUAAUUGGAGCACUUCCCAAUUAAAUCGGCGAUUCAUAAAUAUGCAACGACUCUAGGCUAGUGGUGCAGAACAAGUUAGGUUCUUACAUAGAGAAUACACGUAGCAACAGAUACACCAGCAAGUACCUAUCACAGGCAGACAUAACGUAAUACACCGACUAAAAGUGCCAGUUUUAUAAAUGCGUAUUAUCUAAUUUUGUUCUGUAUUACAAUUGCUAUAGUUUGUAAAAGAAUUACAAAAAAUAAUAAUUGUAA
RNAcentral lists this long non-coding RNA (1751 nucleotides) under Ooceraea biroi (clonal raider ant). RNAcentral describes it as "uncharacterized LOC109611327". Lineage: Eukaryota; Metazoa; Arthropoda; Insecta; Hymenoptera; Formicidae. The record is from RNAcentral.